GGUGAGCAGCAGGUGUUCGCCCUGCCCGGCCGGUUCGAAGCCGGCCAGUUCCUCGACCAGGAAGUCUUCCGUGCGGCUGCGGAAGUCCGCCGCCA
RNAcentral lists this transfer RNA (95 nucleotides) under Arenimonas soli. RNAcentral's name for it is "tRNA-Ser". Lineage: Bacteria; Pseudomonadati; Pseudomonadota; Gammaproteobacteria; Lysobacterales; Lysobacteraceae. The record is from RNAcentral.